UGUUAAGAUGACACAACUUCAUUAAAAAUAUAUAUAUAUUAUUUCAAGGUUCUACCAGGUGUAAUCUUUGCAAGGCUUGAUUAAUUCCUUUACAUGGAAAAGUAGAAGAUCAGGAAUAGUGGGCAUAUCCCGACUGCACUCAAAUUUAGAAGAGGUUUGGACAUUUCCUCCAGUUGUAUUACUGCUCUGUUAGACCCAUUUAAUAUACAGUGAGGGGAAAAAAGUAUUUAAUCCCCUGCUGAUUUUGAAUGUUUGUCCACUGACAAAAAAAUGAUCAGUCUUUAAUUUUAAUGGUGCCAUUAAACGUUCAAAAUCAGCAGGGGAUCAAAUACUUUUUUUUCCCUCACUGUAUGCUUGUCAUGCUCCUAUAAGGCAUAUGGGUAUAUGAUAUUUUAAUCAGGACCUUCCCCAUAUUCUACUCUACAUUCCUAAGUCAUCCAGAGCCUUGCAUUGAGUCAAGUGCCCAGCAGCACAAGAUAUCCGUACGACAGCCCUACACCCUAAACUUGUGUCCAUCUCCCACGUACCCUUUAUUACAGAAUACAUCCUUUCCUCCAGGAAUAGUUGCUGCUGCCUUCCGAGAUCUGGUGGAAAUGGGCAUCCAGAAUUAUCAGGACUUCAAUCAGCAAGGAGAAGUGGACUGCUAGGAUACCCUUCAGUGAGGGGGCACCUCAUUCCCAAAAAUCUAUUCAGAUUAGCAAUUUAGCUGGUAAACCUGAAGUGACAGACUUCCUGGUGUAAAUCAG
This is a non-coding RNA of Pelobates cultripes (western spadefoot toad), 746 nucleotides long. NCBI's taxonomy places the organism in Eukaryota, Metazoa, Chordata, Amphibia, Anura, Pelobatidae. The record is from the annotation of a GenBank genome assembly.